RNAcentral lists this long non-coding RNA (355 nucleotides) under Homo sapiens (human). RNAcentral describes it as "HSALNT0328168". The record is from RNAcentral. Lineage: Eukaryota; Metazoa; Chordata; Mammalia; Primates; Hominidae.
ACUCCUGGUUUGGUGUGCUCUUACAAGAAAAGUGUCAAAACCUUGGUCAAGUGCAAUGCACAGGAGUUGCAUCCACGACAGCAGUUAGUCAGAAAGAAAAGAUAUUUGUGAAAUGGCUGCUGUGGCUGGACUCUGUCCUAGAUUCUGGUGACGCAUUGGUGAAUAAGUCAAACCUUGCUCUGACUGUUGGAAGCUUAUAUUUUCAUGGUGGAAAGACAAAUAAUGAACAACUAAAUAAACAAGAUGUUUUUAGAGAGUGACAGAAGAACUAAAAUCAGGUCAAGAACUAGGCUUACAUCAACACUGACUAAUUUAGAUUAACAAAGGUUUAUCAAGCAAGCAGCAGGGGAUCCAU